GACGAACGCUGGCGGCGUGCCUAAUACAUGCAAGUCGAGCGGACCAAACAGGAGCUUGCUCUUGUUUGGUUAGCGGCGGACGGGUGAGUAACACGUGGGUAACCUGCCCGUAAGACCGGGAUACCUCCGGGAAACCGGAGCUAAUACCGGAUAACACCGAAGACCGCAUGGUCUUUGGUUGAAAGGCGGCUUCGGCUGCCACUUACGGAUGGGCCCGCGGCGCAUUAGCUAGUCGGUGAGGGAACGGCUCACCAAGGAGACGAUGCGUAGCCGGCCUGAGAGGGUGACCGGCCACACUGGGACUGAGACACGGCCCAGACUCCUACGGGAGGCAGCAGUAGGGAAUCUUCCGCAAUGGACGAAAGUCUGACGGAGCGACGCCGCGUGAGCGAAGAAGGUCUUCGGAUCGUAAAGCUCUGUUGUUAGGGAAGAAGAAGCGCCGUUCGAACAGGGCGGCGCGGUGACGGUACCUAACGAGAAAGCCCCGGCUAACUACGUG
This 499-nucleotide ribosomal RNA is filed under the name uncultured bacterium. Its description in RNAcentral is "partial 16S ribosomal RNA". It matches the Rfam family "Bacterial small subunit ribosomal RNA", at positions 28 to 507 of the family's 1533-position model. The record is from RNAcentral.